This 433-nucleotide ribosomal RNA is filed under the name uncultured bacterium. RNAcentral describes it as "partial 16S ribosomal RNA". It matches the Rfam family "Bacterial small subunit ribosomal RNA", at positions 29 to 507 of the family's 1533-position model. The record is from RNAcentral.
AACGAACGCUGGCGGCAUGCCUAACACAUGCAAGUCGAACGAGACCUUCGGGUCUGGUGGCGCACGGGUGCGUAACGCGUGGGAACCUGCCCUUAGGUUCGGAAUAACUCCCCGAAAGGGGUGCUAAUACCGGAUAAUGUCUUCGGACCAAAGAUUUAUCGCCUUUGGAUGGGCCCGCGUUGGAUUAGCUAGUUGGUAGGGUAAAAGCCUACCAAGGCGACGAUCCAUAGCUGGUCUGAGAGGAUGAUCAGCCACACUGGGACUGAGACACGGCCCAGACUCCUACGGGAGGCAGCAGUGGGGAAUAUUGGACAAUGGGCGAAAGCCUGAUCCAGCAAUGCCGCGUGAGUGAUGAAGGCCUUAGGGUUGUAAAGCUCUUUUACCCGGGAUGAUAAUGGCAGUACCGGGAGAAUAAGCUCCGGCUAACUCCGUG